CCUACGGGAGGCUGCAGUGGGGGAUAUUGCACAAUGGGGGAAACCCUGAUGCAGCGACGCCGCGUGGGUGAAGAAGUAUUUCGGUAUGUAAAGCCCUAUCAGCAGGGAAGAAAGAAGACGGUACCUGACUAAGAAGCCCCGGCUAACUACGUGCCAGCAGCCGCGGUAAUACGUAGGGGGCGAGCGUUAUCCGGAUUCACUGGGUGUAAAGGGAGCGUAGACGGCCGUGCAAGCCAGGAGUGAAAGCCCGGGGCCCAACCCCGGGACUGCUCUUGGAACUGUGCGGCUGGAGUGCGGGAGGGGCAGGCGGAAUUCCUGGUGGAGCGGUGAAAUGCGUAGAUAUCAGGAGGAACACCGGCGGCGAAGGCGGCCUGCUGGACCGCGACUGACGUUGAGGCUCGAAAGCGUGGGGAGCGAACAGGAUUAGAUACCCGGGUAGUC
This 441-nucleotide ribosomal RNA is filed under the name uncultured bacterium. RNAcentral's name for it is "partial 16S ribosomal RNA". It matches the Rfam family "Bacterial small subunit ribosomal RNA", at positions 338 to 795 of the family's 1533-position model. The record is from RNAcentral.